UACGUAGGGCGCAAGCGUUGUCCGGAAUUAUUGGGCGUAAAGAGCUCGUAGGUGGUUUGUUACGUCUGCUGUGAAAACCUAGGGCUUAACCCUGGGCCUGCAGUGGAUACGGGCAGACUAGAGGUAGGUAGGGGAGAAUGGAAUUCCCGGUGUAGCGGUGAAAUGCGCAGAUAUCGGGAGGAACACCGGUGGCGAAGGCGGUUCUCUGGGCCUUACCUGACGCUGAGGAGCGAAAGCAUGGGGAGCAAACAGG
This 253-nucleotide ribosomal RNA is filed under the name uncultured bacterium. Its description in RNAcentral is "partial 16S ribosomal RNA". It matches the Rfam family "Bacterial small subunit ribosomal RNA", at positions 524 to 776 of the family's 1533-position model. The record is from RNAcentral.